Molecule: long non-coding RNA, 1703 nt
Organism: Sarcophilus harrisii (Tasmanian devil)
Lineage: Eukaryota; Metazoa; Chordata; Mammalia; Dasyuromorphia; Dasyuridae
Source: Ensembl
GGCUGCUAGGAGGAGCCGAGACGAGAUGAGGGGGAGGAGGUGGAGUCUGGCUCCAAAGAGGCGGAGCGCCGCUCUGAGCUCUAGCUGCAGCCUUUAGUGGGGUUCAGAAACUGGCAGCUGAGCUUGCCCCACGGCUUGCAGUGAGAAGACCAGGAGACACGCGCACGCCCAGCGGGUGUCGAAGUUUGGGGCCUGUGGGAGAUGGAGUCGUUGGGGUGUCAAGUUCAAGGGAGUGAGAGCCGCAGAUGGCAAAGAGACCGCUGGGACCUAGCGAGUGGCUCCCCUUUCCUUCCAAGCACUCUUCCACUACUACCACCACCGUCCUUUUACAGAUAGAACUGAAGUCAGAUCUUCCCACCUUCUCAUAGCGCCUCUUCACAUACCCCUCACCCCACUCCCAUCCGCUAAAUAGAUGGGAAGCUAAUGAGGAUGAUAGGAAGGUUCUAGGUGGGGGCUCCAUCUCCCUGUAAAAAAGAUCUCUCUUUUAUGGCGUCAGUGUCUAGCUACAAAUAUCACUAUGCUACGUGACAACAGAAGGGGGAAGAGUGAAGUAAUGGGGAGGAAGGGCAGGGAAAGUUUCAAAUUGCAGAGAAUAAUGGCGAGGAGUAUAAGCUUUAAUUACGUGAACAGUGAUUUAUAAAAGGACAGAAAGGCAGCAUGAGGACGGAGAACAAUAUUGGAAGUAAAAAACGGGGAAAUUAGUUGACUGGGGUCAAGGAUCAAUAAUAUAGAUAGAGAUUUCUGUAUAUUAGUGAGGGUGUACAUGCAGAUGUAUGCAUGUGUAAAGCCAGUUCUUUCAACACAUAUUAAAAUAUAGACUCAGACUAAGGUUAUUAGAGCUGGGAGGAAACUUAAGAAAUCUUCUCAUCCAAAUCUCUCAUUGUACAGAUGCAGUGAGUGACCAAUUGAGUGACAAUGCAAGCUCCAAGUAGAAAAGUCCUCUAAGUAGCUAAAGAAUCAGGUCAGGAACGAAAAUAAGAAUUUGAGAUUCAACAGAAUAUUGAAGCUGCAACACAAAAUUGAUUUAUGGAGGGAAUAUAUAGAGAGAGAACAAGGAUUGAAAUUUGUAUGCCCAAGAUGAUAUUUUUAAUUCAGAAUGCCAGAAAUAUUUGUUGAAUUGAAAAACUGGAUUGGAUUGAAUAUAGAAUGGGAAUCCUAGAAUAUUGAGCUUGGGCUUGAAUCAACUGAAGAGGAAGAAGGGGAGAAAUGCCAAAACCACAGGUGUUCACAGCAGUGGUAUCAAACUCAGAUAGAAAUGGGGUCACUAAUCUAUAUGUAAAACUUUCUUAGCAUAUUGACAUACUUUUGAAUUUUAGUGCUAUAUUUUAUUGUGUUUUUAUUUUUUAAAAAUUAUUUCCCAGUUACAUUUUUCAUCUGGUUUAGGAGGUACUUGGGAAUGUUGUGGGAUGUAAGCGGUCUGUGGACUGACUGACACAUAGCAUCCAGAAAACCUGACUCGGGUGCACUCAAAAAAAAAAAAAAAAAAAAAAAAAAAAACUUCUACAAGAGGUCCUACCCAGAACUGGCCCAGCAAUGUACCUAGUAUCAUGGGGCUCCCAUAGUCCAGGUGACCUUAAAUUAAAUUGAAACUAUACUCUCCUCAGGAUCUUGUGAGAACCCAUGGCACAGAAUUGCUCUCGGGGUUAGAUUUAUGAGUAUUCAGAAUAGUUUUUCAUAUUACCUAAAAUUUUCCUCAUUUCUUU